AUUGAACGCUGGCGGCAGGCCUAACACAUGCAAGUCGAGCGGUAGAGAGGUGCUUGCAUCUCUUGAGAGCGGCGGACGGGUGAGUAAUGCCUAGGAAUCUGCCUAGUGGUGGGGGAUAACGUUCGGAAACGGACGCUAAUACCGCAUACGUCCUACGGGAGAAAGCGGGGGAUCUUCGGACCUCGCGCCAUUAGAUGAGCCUAGGUCGGAUUAGCUAGUUGGUGAGGUAAUGGCUCACCAAGGCGACGAAUCCGUAACUGGUCUGAGAGGAUGAUCAGUCACACUGGAACUGAGACACGGUCCAGACUCCUACGGGAGGCAGCAGUGGGGGAAUAUUGGACAAUGGGCGAAAGCCUGAUCCAGCCAUGCCGCGUGUG
This 377-nucleotide ribosomal RNA is filed under the name uncultured bacterium. RNAcentral describes it as "bacterial SSU rRNA". It matches the Rfam family "Bacterial small subunit ribosomal RNA", at positions 30 to 405 of the family's 1533-position model. The record is from RNAcentral.